Long non-coding RNA from Solenopsis invicta (red fire ant), 1167 nucleotides. RefSeq lists it as uncharacterized. The record is from RefSeq and is a predicted model, not a curated record. Lineage: Eukaryota; Metazoa; Arthropoda; Insecta; Hymenoptera; Formicidae. The transcript has 2 exons.
UGGUAGACAGGUUAUGACGGCUAUGUUUCGAUAUUGACUGUACUGAAAAUCUAUAAUGUUACAUACGUCAUCACUUUUUCAGUACUUACAGUGAAUAUCAAAACACAACCUUAGUCUGCUACACUCGUCGGCUUGGAGUUGGUUUUGGAGUAAUUUUUCCACGCAGUGUUAUCCAAUAUCAAGUUUUGCAAAGAUAUUAUUGGAAGAUAUUGGAAGUUUAGACGAAGAACGUAAUUCACCAACUAAUGGAGAAGAUCGACAGGUGUUUUUGGCUGUAGAAAAAAAUCCUGACGGGUAGGGGCGAAACUGAGGUCAUAUUCGAUUUCAGCAGGCGAAAAUACAUGGGAAUACCAUGGUCUACUCCAGGGCGGAGACAACUUUUUUUUUGUGGGCCUGUGUAUUAAAGUUAGCAACUUUUACACAUAAGUCAUCCUAUCCUAGCCCAACAUAAAACGUACAUUUUGCACUGUAGAUUUAAAAUGGCCCGAGUAUUGUUGUUGAAAAACUAUAAUCAACCGUAGAGUAGAAAAUCAGGAACAUGACAAACAAAAACUCAAAUUUUUUAACCACAUAAUACCACCAUAAAUUAAAACAUUUUUAAUAAUUUAAAAAUUAAUAUCUCUAAUAUAAUGUGGUCUAUCGAAAUAAAAUUUUAACAGCAAUUAGGUUAGACAUUUCUCUAUAAACUCCUAAAUUUUCACGAAGAUUUGUCGGUAAAGGGUUUUUGUGAUAUUACUGAUGUGAUACAAAUACCUUAAGGGGAAACUACCUUAUAUUCUGAAUAUAAUAUAUUGUAAGGACUGUUAAUUAAGAAUAAAAACUGUAUAUUUGUAAAUAUUAAUAAUUUUGUCAACUAGAUGUCUAAUUGAAAAUUUUAUAAUCAGGUUAAUAAAUAAGGAUUAUUUUUGAAAAGUAGAACAAAUUAAUGAAAAUAUCAGCGGAUUAAAAACAAUAUACAAUUUGACUGGUAGUUCAGGAAAAAGGACAAGAAAGCUGUACGAAGAAAAAGAGGCAAAUUUGUAACUUCAAACAUUUAAAAUAUUUUAUGUUGACUCAUCACUUUCUCAUUACAUCAACUAUCUAUUAUCUAACAAUAAUAUUUCUUCUGAAUGUUGUAUACUAUGUAUAAAGAUAACAUGUAAUAAAAUAAUAUAUUUUUGUACAAUA